Molecule: ribosomal RNA, 509 nt
Filed under: uncultured bacterium
Lineage: Bacteria
Description: bacterial SSU rRNA
Rfam family: Bacterial small subunit ribosomal RNA
Source: RNAcentral
AGGGUUCGAUUCUGGCUCAGGAUGAACGCUGGCGGCGUGCUUAACACAUGCAAGUCGAACGAAGCACUUAAGAAGAUUUCUUCGGAUUGAAUCUUUGUGACUAGUGGCGGACGGGUGAGUAACGCGUGGGCAACCUGCCUCUGUCUGGGGGAUAACAGUUAGAAAUGACUGCUAAUACCGCAUAAGCGCACAUUACCGCAUGGUAGAGUGUGAAAAACGUUAGUGGACAGAGAUGGACCCGCGUUAGAUUAGCCAGUUGGUGGGGUAACGGCCUACCAAAGCGACGAUCUAUAGCCGGCCUGAGAGGGCGACCGGCCACAUUGGGACUGAGACACGGCCCAAACUCCUACGGGAGGCAGCAGUGGGGAAUAUUGCACAAUGGGGGAAACCCUGAUGCAAGCGACGCCGCGUGAGUGAAGAAGUAUUUCGGUAUGUAAAGCUCUAUCAGCAGGGAAGAAAAUGACGGUACCUGACUAAGAAGCCCCGGCUAACUACGUGCCAGCAGCGGC